CCUACGGGAGGCAGCAGUGAGGAAUAUUGGUCAAUGGGCGCGAGCCUGAACCAGCCAAGUCGCGUGAGGGAAGACGGCCCUACGGGUUGUAAACCUCUUUUGCCGGGGAGCAACGGGCGCCACGUGUGGCGCCACUGAGAGUACCCGGAGAAAAAGCAUCGGCUAACUCCGUGCCAACAGCCGCGGUAAAACGGAGGAUGCGAGGUUUAUCCGGAUUUUUUGGGUUAAAAGGGGGCGUAGGCGGUGCGUAAAGGCAGUGGUCAAGUUGAGGGGCUCAACCCCUUCCCGCCAUUGAAACUGGCGCUCUUGAGUGGAAGAGAAGUAUGCGGAAUGCGUGGUGUAGCGGUGAAAUGCAUAGAUAUCACGCAGAACCCCGAUUGCGAAGGCAGCAUGCCGGCUUCCUACUGACGCUGAAGCACGAAAGCGUGGGGAUCGAACAGGAUUAGAUACCCUUGUAGUC
Molecule: ribosomal RNA, 460 nt
Filed under: uncultured bacterium
Lineage: Bacteria
Description: partial 16S ribosomal RNA
Rfam family: Bacterial small subunit ribosomal RNA
Source: RNAcentral